RNAcentral lists this ribosomal RNA (468 nucleotides) under uncultured bacterium. RNAcentral describes it as "partial 16S ribosomal RNA". It matches the Rfam family "Bacterial small subunit ribosomal RNA", at positions 28 to 507 of the family's 1533-position model. The record is from RNAcentral.
GACGGACGCUGGCGGCACGCUUAACACAUGCAAGUCGAACGGAAAGGCCCUGCUUUUGUGGGGUGCUCGAGUGGCGAACGGGUGAGUAACACGUGAGUAACCUGCCCUUGACUUUGGGAUAACUUCAGGAAACUGGGGCUAAUACCGGAUAGGAGCUCCUGCUGCAUGGUGGGGGUUGGAAAGUUUCGGCGGUUGGGGAUGGACUCGCGGCUUAUCAGCUUGUUGGUGGGGUAGUGGCUUACCAAGGCUUUGACGGGUAGCCGGCCUGAGAGGGUGACCGGCCACAUUGGGACUGAGAUACGGCCCAGACUCCUACGGGAGGCAGCAGUGGGGAAUAUUGCACAAUGGGCGGAAGCCUGAUGCAGCAACGCCGCGUGCGGGAUGACGGCCUUCGGGUUGUAAACCGCUUUCGCCUGUGACGAAGCGUGAGUGACGGUAAUGGGUAAAGAAGCACCGGCUAACUACGUG